RNAcentral lists this ribosomal RNA (402 nucleotides) under uncultured Acetobacteraceae bacterium. Its description in RNAcentral is "bacterial SSU rRNA". It matches the Rfam family "Bacterial small subunit ribosomal RNA", at positions 355 to 774 of the family's 1533-position model. The record is from RNAcentral. Lineage: Bacteria; Pseudomonadati; Pseudomonadota; Alphaproteobacteria; Acetobacterales; Acetobacteraceae.
UGGGGAAUAUUGGACAAUGGGCGCAAGCCUGAUCCAGCAAUGCCGCGUGGAUGAAGAAGGUCUUCGGAUUGUAAAGUCCUUUCGGCGGGGACGAUGAUGACGGUACCCGCAGAAGAAGCCCCGGCUAACUUCGUGCCAGCAGCCGCGGUAAUACGAAGGGGGCUAGCGUUGCUCGGAAUGACUGGGCGUAAAGGGCGCGUAGGCGGCCUGGUUAGUUAGAUGUGAAAUUCCUGGGCUUAACCUGGGGACUGCAUUUAAUACAGCCAAGCUUGAGUGUGGAAGAGGGUCGUGGAAUUCCCAGUGUAGAGGUGAAAUUCGUAGAUAUUGGGAAGAACACCGGUGGCGAAGGCGGCGACCUGGUCCAUUACUGACGCUGAGGCGCGAAAGCGUGGGGAGCAAACA